Long non-coding RNA from Macaca mulatta (Rhesus monkey), 707 nucleotides. RefSeq lists it as uncharacterized. NCBI's taxonomy places the organism in Eukaryota, Metazoa, Chordata, Mammalia, Primates, Cercopithecidae. The record is from RefSeq and is a predicted model, not a curated record.
GGAUGAGUGAAGGAACUACAAGUUCCAUGGUGCCGCGCGGAAGCGGGCGCUUGGCUACCUGGGAGCGUUGUGUUAGGGGUGUUGAGGGGGACCGAGAGUGCUGCUGGAGCUGGGGAAGAAGAGCAGGGGAGUCCGGACAGUUAGAAGAAGGGUGACCUGAGGGAAAUGAUGAGAAUUGGAGGGGGAGAUAAAACAGAACACUACCAUUUUGGCUCCGUUCAACCUCCGUGGAAGUUGUGGUGGCAAACAUAAGAAAAUCAGGUCAUCGGUGGGUGCAUGCAGCGAGGGCCGGGCGGAGCAAAAAUGUAGAAAAGGCCUAUCAGAAGACAGUCUCUUGUGCAGUUCCUCGUUAGUAUAGUGGUAAGCCUGAUUGCAAGCUUUGUUGGACCUGUUUCUUUCUGACUCAGAGAUUCCAGCUCAGCUUCCAUUUUUCCCACUAAGUAGGCAGUGACAUUUCAUCACAGCAGCUCAGUACAAACAACAGAGCGGUCCUCAAAAGAUUCAAAAGUAAUAGAAGACAGGAAUGGAGAAAGGAAGGAACAAAAGAAGGAAAGAUGGCAGAACAAAAAGGCACACCAUGGAAGCUGAGGGUGCUGCUUAUCUAAGCGGGCAUGGCUUCCCGGAACUUCUCAUCUCUCACUUCUUAAAUGUUUUCCUCUUUAUUUCAUUGAAUCAUUGAACUAGAAUAAUACAAUAUCAGAAAUCAA